Molecule: ribosomal RNA, 245 nt
Filed under: uncultured bacterium
Lineage: Bacteria
Description: partial 16S ribosomal RNA
Rfam family: Bacterial small subunit ribosomal RNA
Source: RNAcentral
AACGUAGGUGGCGAGCGUUAUCCGGAUUUACUGGGUGUAAAGCGUGUGCAGGCGGGAAGGUAAGUGGUGUAUGAAAUCGCCCGGCUCAACCGGGCGGGGUUAUGCCAGACUGCCAUUCUAGAGGACGAGAGAGGGGCGUGGAAUUCCGGGUGUAGUGGUGAAAUGCGUAGAGAUCCGGAGGAACCCCAGAGGCGAAGGCGGCGCCCUGGCUCGUACCUGACGCUCAGACACGACAGCAUGGGGAG